UACGUAGGGUGCGAGCGUUAAUCGGAAUUACUGGGCGUAAAGCGUGCGUAGACGGUCGUGUAAGUCGGAUGUGAAAGCCCCGGGCUCAACCUGGGAAUUGCAUUCGAGACUGCACGGCUCGGGUGCGGAAGAGGGAAGCGGAAUUUCCGGUGUAGCGGUGAAAUGCGUAGAUAUCGGAAGGAACACCAGUGGCGAAAGCGGCUUCCUGGUCCGACACCGACGUUCAGGCACGAAAGCGUGGGGAGCAAACAGG
RNAcentral lists this ribosomal RNA (253 nucleotides) under uncultured bacterium. RNAcentral's name for it is "partial 16S ribosomal RNA". It matches the Rfam family "Bacterial small subunit ribosomal RNA", at positions 524 to 776 of the family's 1533-position model. The record is from RNAcentral.